This 431-nucleotide non-coding RNA is filed under the name Solanum lycopersicum (tomato). The record is from RNAcentral. Lineage: Eukaryota; Viridiplantae; Streptophyta; Magnoliopsida; Solanales; Solanaceae.
GCAAAAAAAAAAAUGGUUAUUCUCAAGCUUUUGUGAUUUUUCUUAGUUAUCUUCUCAUUUAUAUCCAUGGAUGUACUACACCAAGAAGCAAUGGUGUUACAAAUCAUAGAGAUUCAUGUAUAUGAAGGUGAUGAAAUGAAGCAUCAAGAGUCAUCGUCGUGGUGACACAUGCAGUGACGUUAUCCUUUCUGAGCUUGUUCUUCUUACGUUAUUUUCUCAUCUUUUAGAAUUCUUGAACUAUUGUUCGAGUUUUCUUGACCUUGCAAGUCCGUAACACUUUGUAUAACCCUUGAGCUUGCGAGGUUACUUAAAAAUUCUUGUAUCUUUCCUAUCCCUUCUGAGCUUCUUUUUGUAAAAUAUCAACCCCUUCUCAAUGGUUGAGGUGUAUCACUGUUAUAUUAUAUAUAUAUAGGCUGAAAAAUAUUCUCUCC